Molecule: ribosomal RNA, 351 nt
Filed under: uncultured bacterium
Lineage: Bacteria
Description: SSU rRNA
Rfam family: Bacterial small subunit ribosomal RNA
Source: RNAcentral
AGAACGAACGCUGGCGGCGUGGAUAAGACAUGCAAGUCGGACGCGAUUUAUCCGGUUAGCAAUAACUGGGUGGAUUGAGUGGCGAAAGGGUGCGUAACACGUGGGAAUUUACCAAGAAGUGGGGAAUAGCUCGACGAAAGUCGAAUUAAUACCGCAUGUGAUCGUAAGAUCAAAGCCGGGGACCGCAAGGCCUGGCGCUUUUUGAGAAGCCCGCGGCCCAUCAGCUAGUUGGCGAGGUAAUGGCUCACCAAGGCUAUGACGGGUAGCUGGUCUGAGAGGACGACCAGCCACACUGGAACUGAGACACGGUCCAGACACCUACGGGUGGCAGCAGUCGAGAAUUUUUCACAA